Molecule: long non-coding RNA, 2197 nt
Filed under: Pan troglodytes (chimpanzee)
Lineage: Eukaryota; Metazoa; Chordata; Mammalia; Primates; Hominidae
Description: long non-coding RNA NONPTRT001197
Source: RNAcentral
GUUAGUUUAGCCAAGUGUUUGUUAAUUUUACUUUUUCCAGAAAAACAACUCGGGUGCGAGAGGCCUACGUUGCAUCACCACUGGAGGCCAGUAGUUCCCAAUCAGCCUGGAAAGAAUACCUCUUGUAACCACUAAUUUUAAUAUAUGAUAUGACACAUGAAUUCAGUUUUUUCUACUUGUUUAUUUUUAUAUGGUUACAAAUAUGUCACAUCCAUUGCUUAAAAAGAAAAUCUUCAAUCGUUUGUUGAAAUAUUAUGCAUUUUUAAAUACAUUGCUUUUUCAAGAUUGUCAAAAAUCUGUUCUCAAUAUAUGUGUUCAUUUAUAUUUGGACUCUAUUUUCUUUUGAUCCAUUUAAUUGAUCACAUACCAAAGCUCUGUUGUGGCCAUUACAACUCUGUGAUUGUUCUUUAAAUCAGGUGGAGCUAGCCCUCCAAUUCUGCACUUCGUUAUACAGGCAUUUUGGUUAUGCUAGUUCAUGUUAAUUUUAGAAUCAGCUGCCAUUUUCUACCAACGAUGCAUGCUGAAAUUUUGAGUCGGAUUGCAUUGAAUUCAUAGAUCAAAUUAGGGGAAAUGAACAUCUCAACAAUAUUCUUACACAUGAGCAAACAAUAUCUUUCCAGUUAUUAGGCCUGCACUAUGUUCUCCGUGAAAUAUGCUCUAAUUUUCAGUCAUAUUCACAUUUAUGGAUUUUAUACACUUGACAUUAUUGUAAAUGGUAUUCCUUUUACAUUUAAAUUCUGCCGUGCAAUUGCAUAAAUACAAUUUAUUUUUGCAUAUUGAUCUUAUAUCCUGCUAGAAACAAAUGCUUUUUGGAUUCAGGUUUGAUCGGCCAGUGGCAAUAUCUUUGGAAACUUGCGUAUUUACCAGGUGUGUGCAUCCUGUUGUGUUGAUCCCUCUCCCCUCCCAGAAAAGUCAUUGUAGGCCCAAGUCGAUGAAGGGACAGAUUGUGAAAGAACAGACGCAGAGCAUGGAAUAAGUAUGCAGUGCCCACUGAAUCAAAAACUUUGCUGAAGUUGCUUUUCUGCGAUUGUCUAACAUUCCUCUGAGUCACCUUAUCUGCUGCUUAAAAGCCCCAAAGCAUUUUCUUAACUGUCUUGUGGCCAUUGUUAUAAACUCUGUUCUGCUCUUCCUGUGUCAACUACCACACAGUCUGUUUCAUUGCAUGGCCCUAAAGGCAGAGCCAUUUUUCCAACUUUAAGUGCACUAAGGGUAUCCUGUUUCUACAAAACCAGUGGAUGUUAGUGGUUCUCUUAGGGAUUUUUUUUUCUUUUUUGUCAUAUAAGGCCAUAAUUGGAGUAAUGUGAAAAAUAUUUUUUCCUCCAGAAGUUAUUAGAUGCUGCUAUAUCCAAUAUUUGUUCUAUCAGUACACUAUAAUGUAUCCCAGCUAUGCAUUUUAUAUUUCCUAAAACUUCACUUCUGAGAAGGCCCUUCACGAGUUUUUAGAAAUUCAUGGCCCACCCAGCAGCAUUACUAAGUCUUUUGGAGUCUAGCCUCAUGGUCUUUCUGUUGAUUUUCCUGCUGUCAACAUGUAAUCUGUGAAAUGAAACAAAGGAGAGGAUCCAGGCCAAGACUUGGCAACAUUCACUUAUGACAGUCGGCAGUCAGACACUAUGUGCAGAGAUCCUCCAGAUCCUGUUUGACCAGCAUCUUUGGGAGGUUAAGAGCCCAGCCCUGUCAGAACCACUAUUCAUUAUCAUUGACCCUUUCACCAGAAUGUGUGUCGGCUACUGAUUUUCUCACCUCCAGGCAACUCAGGCUGAGCUGAGAGCAGAAAUCUUAAGCUCUUGUCACUAAGGACUCUUCUGUGCUUCCUCUGUAUCACUCGCCAUAACUAGCAUAAUGCUUUACUCACAGGGGCUCAGGAAAUGCACUUGUUGAGCUCAACAAAUUGAGAAUCCAAGUUGCCUGAUAAGCAGAGAUGUUAUGGUGUAGAGAAUUGGAUAGGGUAAGCAGAGGAACAAAACAGUAUGUCAUUUUGUUGUUAUUGUUGUUGUUGUUGUUAGAGUACAAAAAUUGUGACUGGCAACUGCUGGGGAAUCCUAAGGCAGGACUUUAGUCCCUAACUCUCCUACAUUCUCACUACAUUCAUGGAAGCUGCUUUACUCCUUUCCACCUUAGGUAUUUCCUCUAUAAUUAGAGGAUAAAAUACACAAUUUCUAAAUGCUAGUACUAUGACUGAUAUAGAAUUUAUUUUGGA